Solanum pennellii is the source of this 247-nucleotide long non-coding RNA. RefSeq lists it as uncharacterized. NCBI's taxonomy places the organism in Eukaryota, Viridiplantae, Streptophyta, Magnoliopsida, Solanales, Solanaceae. The record is from RefSeq and is a predicted model, not a curated record. The transcript is spliced from 3 exons.
AAUAAUGAAUAUUUUUGGGUUGUUGGCAAGAUGAUGAAUUGAAGCUAAUUAGUCUCUCUGUCACACUUUUCUCUCAAGUUUCUCACUGAAGAACACAAUUUCAAACAGAUUUUGUUGGAGUAGGUUUUAUCAGUGUUCAAGUUUCUUGGUGAAGAUCGUUUCCCUGCUCGUCCCGUUCCAGUUCACUUCCUGAAGAAAGACCUCACUCGAAGAGCUGAAGGACGGAAGCUGGAGAACUGAUUUCAUC